RNAcentral lists this transfer RNA (72 nucleotides) under Helianthus annuus (common sunflower). RNAcentral describes it as "tRNA-Asn". The stretch from base 8 to 71 matches the Rfam family "tRNA". Rfam says of the family: Transfer RNA (tRNA) molecules are approximately 80 nucleotides in length. Their secondary structure includes four short double-helical elements and three loops (D, anti-codon, and T loops). Lineage: Eukaryota; Viridiplantae; Streptophyta; Magnoliopsida; Asterales; Asteraceae. The record is from RNAcentral.
UCGUUGUUCCUCAGUGGUAGAGCGGUCGGCUGUUAACCGAUUGGUCGUAGGUUCGAAUUCUACUUGAGGAGA